UGCCACAGCCAUGUCACCCUGCAGCCCAAGACCGGUUACUCACUAAAGCUAAGCAGGGCUGAGCCUGGUCAGUACCUGGAUGGGAGACCACUAGGGAACACUAGGUUGCUGUUGGAU
RNAcentral lists this ribosomal RNA (117 nucleotides) under Danio rerio (zebrafish). The record is from RNAcentral. Lineage: Eukaryota; Metazoa; Chordata; Actinopteri; Cypriniformes; Danionidae.